Molecule: ribosomal RNA, 426 nt
Filed under: uncultured bacterium
Lineage: Bacteria
Description: partial 16S ribosomal RNA
Rfam family: Bacterial small subunit ribosomal RNA
Source: RNAcentral
GUGAGGAAUUUUCCGCAAUGGGCGAAAGCCUGACGGAGCAAUGCCGCGUGAAGGAUGAAGGCCUAUGGGUUGUAAACUUCUUUUCUCAGAACAGAAUUAUGACGGUAUCUGAGGAAUAAGCAUCGGCUAACUCUGUGCCAGCAGCCGCGGUAAGACAGAGGCUGCAAGCGUUAUCCGGAAUGAUUGGGCGUAAAGCGUCUGUAGGUUGUUUAAAAAGUAUUCUGUCAAAGAUUAGGGCUUAGCCCUAGAUAGGCAGAAUAAACUUUUAAGCUAGAGUUUGGUAGAGGCAGAGGGAAUUCCCGGUGGAGCGGUGAAAUGCGUAGAUAUCGGGAGGAACACCAAAGGCGAAGGCACUCUGCUGGGCCAAUACUAACACUGAGAGACGAAAGCGAGGGGAGCAAAUGGGAUUAGAAACCCCAGUAGUCC